This 315-nucleotide ribosomal RNA is filed under the name uncultured bacterium. RNAcentral's name for it is "bacterial SSU rRNA". It matches the Rfam family "Bacterial small subunit ribosomal RNA", at positions 28 to 334 of the family's 1533-position model. The record is from RNAcentral.
GAUGAACGCUAGCGGCAGGCCUAAUACAUGCAAGUCGAACGGGAUCCAGAUCAAAGCUUGCUUUGGUUUGGUGAGAGUGGCGCACGGGUGCGUAACGCGUGAGCAACCUACCCUUGUCAGGGGGAUAGCCCGGCGAAAGUCGGAUUAAUACCGCAUGACAUCAUUGAGAGGCAUCUUUCUAUGAUCAAAGAUUUAUCGGACAAGGAUGGGCUCGCGUGACAUUAGCUAGUUGGUAAGGUAACGGCUUACCAAGGCUACGAUGUCUAGGGGCUCUGAGAGGAGAAUCCCCCACACUGGUACUGAGACACGGACCAG